This 2793-nucleotide long non-coding RNA is filed under the name Mus musculus (house mouse). RNAcentral's name for it is "long non-coding RNA chr9:77657327-77660120". Lineage: Eukaryota; Metazoa; Chordata; Mammalia; Rodentia; Muridae. The record is from RNAcentral.
UUUCUUUUCUUUUCUUUUCUCUUCUUUCUUUUUCUUUUUUCCUUUUUCUUUUCUUUUCUUUUUUUUUUUAGACAGGGUCUCACUAUGUAGCUCUGGCUGCCCUAGAACUCAUUUAGGUAGACCAAGCUGGUCUCAGACUCAGUAAGAUCUGUCUCUGCCUCCCGAGUGCUGAAAUUAAAGGCUUAUGUCAUCCUGCCUUGCAACGUGUAUUUUCCUGCUACCAUUUCCUUGAGUUAUCUGCCAAGUUUGGAAGAAAGGGGAAGAACUGUAGUAAAUGAUGGAUAUUUUCCUUUAAUAUAUCAGUUUAUCUUCAUAGUAUAUUUGUUUGGGGAAGGAAAUGCCUAUCAUCCAUGCCUUCUGUACAACUAGAGAAUUUGGAGGGAUGGAGAGGCAUCUGGAACUGUAUCUUGGUUAUUACCAAUCCCAGCCUUUCCUAUUACAUGUGUGUUGUAGCUGUCAUGGUCAUGUCUAAAGCCCAGUCCCCUUGUCUGUGGGUUAACACAUCUGUAGGUGCAGCUAGACCCAAGAUGAAGAUAUUUGAAAAAAAAAUUGCAUAGCAAACAUGUACCAAAUAUUUUCUCCCCCCCCCCAGCAAUACAGCACAACAGUUUGCAUAGCAAUUGCAUUGUAUUAGAUAUUAUAAUACCCUAGAAACAAUAUAACUUAUAGAAGAAGAUGUGAGCAGGGUGUAUGUAAAUAGUACAUGCCACUUUGUAGAUGGGACGUGAGUGUCACAGACACUGUAUCCCAGCAGGGGAUGGGGCAUGUCCUGGUUCCAGUCUCCCAAGGACACUGAGGGAUGGCUACAUCUUAUUCCAACUGUGAAAAGUGGUUCAAAUAAAACAUUCUUGAGAUAACCUUCCUCAUCACCCCUUACAAAAAGUUCUGUUUGGGGUAUUCAACAGUGAUGCUCAGGAACAGAGGAACAGACUAUAAACACUGUAAAUAAGUAAGACACCAUUAGCACAAAGAUACAGAGAGAAAGAGGAGUUCCAUCAAUUGCAGGGAAAACCUAAAGACACCUGCUCUUUUGCCUCCAUGACUGUGCAGGCUGGAAAACAAAACUCUGAGCAAAUAUUUUGGGGAUCAUUUGGCCACGACUUGCUAGGGCAGCCAUCACAUCUUAUCAGGGCAGUAUAGACACACCUCUGCAAUUUAUGCCUACAGUAUAUGGGUAAUUUUGAGAGAGAAAAGGGUGCUUCAUUGGGGGCUACAAAUAAUUGAAUAGACUGAUGUAAUUCAUUUAUGUGCACUAAUAGCUGUGCCUCAAUAGAGAAUGUAGAGGUGUGUGAAAAGAAGGACCUAGGGCUGUGAAUGAAAUAAAAGUCAACUCGUUGUAACAUUUUAGGAUUUAAAACAUGCGGAGAGAGACAGAAAAUAGAGGGACCUCAGUUGGAGCUGGUAAGGUAGGAUGUAAAGCCCACGAGGUUGCUUUCCAGAGGCAAAGCACAGCCCGAUUACAGCCCCUGGGUAAAUUGCAAUCACUUAUGUUCUGUGUUGUUAAUCUGAAGACUCAGAAAAUAUACACAGCUGGGCUUACCACGUCUUGGUGCACUGAGGUUGAUAGGAUAUGGUCCAUGAAAGCUAGUGAAUUUUUGAGCCCCAGAAUAGCCUGCACUGCCAUUAAGGACAAAAAUGCAAGAAGAUGCAAUACGUUCUGUACCCUUCAAAGUCUUUAAUCCAUUUCCAAGUUGCUGCUCCUGGGAAGCAGAGUCCGCUUUGCAACUGCAAACUUUACAUGCUUGUACUGUGGUUCCUGCUUACCCCUAUUCAGUUACAGCCACAAGGUAGGACCCAAACAUGUACUUGUGUUUAUUUUUCUCAAAGAAAAUGUCUUGUGAUUUUUGUUAAUGCCUGAGUUCCGUGAUUAAAUAAAUGUACCAGCUCAGCUUAUCAGAAAAUACCAUGUUACCCAGCAGCCAAAACAAUAAAACUCAAGCUGCCUUUUUCUGAAUGGACCAGAGACCCGAUAAGAGCGUCUCCAGGAAGCCAGAUCUUAAUAGAGUAUGUCCAUCUUCUCUGGGCUCCCAGGCCAACCUGUGAACUCUUAACUUACCAGUUAAUUUCAGUAGGCUGAGUUCAUUUCAUUUUCACUUCCUGUUGUAAGGAUGGGUCACAAAUAGAAGGUAGGUGGCUGGUGCUUCAACAUAGUUCUCUAGACUGAUGGUGGGAAUGUGAGGAAGCGUUAUAGCUGAGGUGAUAAGGAAGUGAGUCCUGAAAGGUUCUAUGCUUUAAGACAGGGUGAUAAUGAUACUGUGUGUGUUUUACAACAGUGUGUAAAUAGAAGUUAUGUGGCAACAGGAGGUAGGUUUCCCACCCCCACUCCCACUAUCUUGCCCAAAUGUCUUCGGAAUUCCACUAAAUUAUCAAGUUAAAUGGACUUAAGACAAUUGGUUGCAUUUGUUUUCCCUUAGUUACAACAGACUCCACCUCUGUAGUUGCUGAGAGCUGGGCCCCUACCCCAGCGUAGGCACAAGGCAGCAAGAAAAGGCAUUCUUUUCAUAGCAAUACAAAUUAUACUCAAUACUUUCCAUUCUAAAUUACUAGAACUAAAGGAUUAAAAUAUUAACAAUUUACCCCCAUAAUGUGCCAUUUAGCAUUCCCUCGAACAGAGUUUGACACAAAAUGUUUAUCUUGGACACUCCUAAAAUAUGUUUGUUGUGGUUGUUUAUCCAGCAAAUUUUGGCAGAAAUCUCUUUGGCUUAAAACAUUCUGGUUUCCUGUAAAGAACAACAAAGAAACCCAUACGUUGUGUUAUUUUGUAACUUCACCACUGUUAAUAAAGCUGCAUAU